This 465-nucleotide ribosomal RNA is filed under the name uncultured bacterium. RNAcentral's name for it is "partial 16S ribosomal RNA". It matches the Rfam family "Bacterial small subunit ribosomal RNA", at positions 28 to 507 of the family's 1533-position model. The record is from RNAcentral.
GACGAACGCUGGCGGCGUGCUUAACACAUGCAAGUCGAACGGAAAGGCCCUGCUUGCAGGGUACUCGAGUGGCGAACGGGUGAGUAACACGUGGGUGAUCUGCCCUGCACUUCGGGAUAAGCCUGGGAAACUGGGUCUAAUACCGGAUAGGAGCCAUUUUUAGUGUGAUGGUUGGAAAGAUUUUUCGGUGUAGGAUGAGCUCGCGGCCUAUCAGCUUGUUGGUGGGGUAAUGGCCUACCAAGGCGGCGACGGGUAGCCGGCCUGAGAGGGUGGACGGCCACAUUGGGACUGAGAUACGGCCCAGACUCCUACGGGAGGCAGCAGUGGGGAAUAUUGCACAAUGGGCGCAAGCCUGAUGCAGCGACGCCGCGUGGGGGAUGACGGCCUUCGGGUUGUAAACUCCUUUCGCUAGGGACGAAGCUUUUUGUGACGGUACCUAGAUAAGAAGCACCGGCUAACUACGUG